GCAUCUGACCGGCCUUGAAAGAGGUUUUCCCUUCGGGGCAGAUGUGUAGGUGCUGCAUGGUUGUCGUCAGCUCGUGCCGUGAGGUGUCGGCUUAAGUGCCAUAACGAGCGCAACCUCAUCAUUAGUUACCAUCAGGUAAGGCUGGGGACUCUAAUGAGACUGCCAUCGUAAGAUGUGAGGAAGGUGGGGAUGACGUCAAAUCAGCACGGCCCUUACGUCCGGGGCGACACACGUGUUACAAUGGGUGGUACAAAGGGCAGCUACCUGGCGACAGGAUGCUAAUCUCCAAAACCACUCUCAGUUCGGAUCGGAGUCUGCAACUCGACUCCGUGAAGCUGGAUUCGCUAGUAAUCGCGCAUCAGCCACGGCGCGGUGAAUACGUUCCCGGGCCUU
This 393-nucleotide ribosomal RNA is filed under the name uncultured Proteiniphilum sp. RNAcentral describes it as "bacterial SSU rRNA". It matches the Rfam family "Bacterial small subunit ribosomal RNA", at positions 988 to 1382 of the family's 1533-position model. The record is from RNAcentral. Lineage: Bacteria; Pseudomonadati; Bacteroidota; Bacteroidia; Bacteroidales; Dysgonomonadaceae.